RNAcentral lists this ribosomal RNA (460 nucleotides) under uncultured bacterium. Its description in RNAcentral is "partial 16S ribosomal RNA". It matches the Rfam family "Bacterial small subunit ribosomal RNA", at positions 338 to 795 of the family's 1533-position model. The record is from RNAcentral.
CCUACGGGUGGCAGCAGUGAGGAAUAUUGGUCAAUGGGCGCGAGCCUGAACCAGCCAAGUAGCGUGAAGGAUGACUGCCCUACGGGUUGUAAACUUCUUUUAUAAAGGAAUAAAGUGAGGCACGUGUGCCUUUUUGUAUGUACUUUAUGAAUAAGGAUCGGCUAACUCCGUGCCAGCAGCCGCGGUAAUACGGGGGAUCCGAGCGUUAUCCGGAUUUAUUGGGUUGAAAGGGAGCGUAGAGGGGUUGUUAAGUCAGUUGUGAAAGUUUGCGGGUCAAACGUAAAAUUGCAAUUGAUACUGGUAGUCUUGAGUACAGUUGAGGUAGGCGGAAUUCGUGGUGGAGCGGGGAAAUGCUUAGAUAUAACGAAGAACGCCGAUGGCGAAGGCAGUUUACUAAACUGCCACUGACAUUGAGGCGCGAAAGUGUGGGGAUCAAACAGGAUUAGAUACCCCGGUAGUC